AUCCUAACUGUUGCUCUGUGAGGACGACAUUGACGAGUUUGUUCAAUUAAGAACCAACGCUACAAUACUUUCAAAAUGAAGUUUUCCUUUGCAAUCUUGAUUGUAGCCUUGGCAGCAGCACUCCUGGCGGCCGUCAUUGCUGCCGAAGAGAUAAC
Long non-coding RNA from Rhipicephalus microplus (southern cattle tick), 155 nucleotides. Lineage: Eukaryota; Metazoa; Arthropoda; Arachnida; Ixodida; Ixodidae. The record is from RefSeq and is a predicted model, not a curated record.